GCUGGGCGUGGUGGCGCACACCUAUAAUCUCAGCAGCUUGGGAGGCUGAGGCAGGAGGAUUGCAGGUUCAAAGCCAACCUCAGCAACUUAGUGAAUCUUUU
RNAcentral lists this small RNA (101 nucleotides) under Marmota monax (woodchuck). Lineage: Eukaryota; Metazoa; Chordata; Mammalia; Rodentia; Sciuridae. The record is from RNAcentral.